RNAcentral lists this ribosomal RNA (594 nucleotides) under uncultured bacterium. RNAcentral's name for it is "bacterial SSU rRNA". It matches the Rfam family "Bacterial small subunit ribosomal RNA", at positions 338 to 944 of the family's 1533-position model. The record is from RNAcentral.
CCUACGGGAGGCAGCAGUUAGGAAUCUUGCGCAAUGGGCGAAAGCCUGACGCAGCGACGCCGCGUGCGGGAUGACGGCCUUCGGGUUGUAAACCGCUUUCAGCAGGGACGAUUAUGACGGUACCUGCAGAAGAAGCCCCGGCCAACUACGUGCCAGCAGCCGCGGUAAUACGUAGGGGGCAAGCGUUGUCCGGAUUUAUUGGGCGUAAAGAGCUCGUAGGCGGUUUGGUAAGUCGGGUGUGAAAUCUCCACGCUCAACGUGGAGGGGCCACUCGAUACUGCCAUGACUCGAGUCCGGUAGAGGAGUGUGGAAUUCCCGGUGUAGCGGUGAAAUGCGCAGAUAUCGGGAGGAACACCCGUAGCGAAGGCGGCACUCUGGGCCGGAACUGACGCUGAGGAGCGAAAGCGUGGGGAGCAAACAGGAUUAGAUACCCUGGUAGUCCACGCCGUAAACGUUGGGCACUAGGUGUGGGGAUCUAUCGACGGUUUCCGUGCCGAAGCUAACGCAUUAAGUGCCCCGCCUGGGGAAGUACGGCCGCAAGGCUAAAACUCAAAUGAAUUGACGGCUGAAGAGCGACGACGACGACGAGAGGAG